ACGUAGGGUGCGAGCGUUAAUCGGAAUUACUGGGCGUAAAGCGCGCGCAGGCGGUUUCUUAAGUCUGAUGUGAAAGCCCACGGCUCAACCGUGGAGGGUCAUUGGAAACUGGGGAACUUGAGUGCAGAAGAGAAAAGCGGAAUUCCACGUGUAGCGGUGAAAUGCGUAGAGAUGUGGAGGAACACCAGUGGCGUAGGCGACUUUCUGGUCUGUAACUGACGCUGAGGCGCGAAAGCGUGGGGAGCAAACAGGA
Molecule: ribosomal RNA, 253 nt
Filed under: uncultured prokaryote
Description: partial 16S ribosomal RNA
Rfam family: Bacterial small subunit ribosomal RNA
Source: RNAcentral